This 584-nucleotide ribosomal RNA is filed under the name uncultured bacterium. RNAcentral describes it as "partial 16S ribosomal RNA". It matches the Rfam family "Bacterial small subunit ribosomal RNA", at positions 357 to 1375 of the family's 1533-position model. The record is from RNAcentral.
UGGGAAUUUGGACAAUGGGCGAAAGCCUGAUCCAGCAAUGCCGCGUGUGUGAAGAAGGCCUUCGGGUUGUAAAGCACUUUUGUCCGGAAAGAAAUCCUUGGCUCUAAUACAGUCGGGGGAUGACGGUACCGGAAGAAUAAGCACCGGCUAACUACGUGCCAGCAGCCGCGGUAAUACGUAGGGUGCAAGCGUUAAUCGGAAUUACUGGGCGUAAAGCGUGCGCAGGCGGUUUGCUAAGACCGAUGUGAAAUCCCCGGGCUCAACCUGGGAACUGCAUUGGUGACUGGCAGGCUAGAGUAUGGCAGAGGGGGGUAGAAUUCCACGUGUAGCAGUGAAAUGCGUAGAGAUGUGGAGGAAUACCGAUGGCGAAGGCAGCCCCCUGGGCCAAUACUGACGCUCAUGCACGAAAAGCGUGGGGAGCAAACAGGAUUAGAUACCCUGGUAGUCCACGCCCUAAACGAUGUCAACUAGUUGUUGGGGAUUCAUUUCCUUAGUAACGUAGCUAACGCGUGAAGUUGACCGCCUGGGGAGUACGGUCGCAAGAUUAAAACUUAAAUGAAUUGACGGGGUCAUAGCUGUUUCCU